AGUGGCGAACGGGUGAGUAACACGUAAGCAAUCUACCUUUAAGUUUGGGAUAACCUUGCCAACGCGGGGCUAAUACCGGAUGUGAUCAGCUUGGCGCAUGUCAGGCUGUUUAAAGGAGCAAUCCGCUUAAAGAUGAGCUUGCGGCCCAUUAGUUAGUUGGCGGGGUAACGGCCCACCAAGACCGCGAUGGGUAGCCGGCCUGAGAGGGUGGACGGCCACAUUGGGACUGAGAUACGGCCCAGACUCCUACGGGAGGCAGCAGUACGAGUUGCGCAUGGACGAAGUCUGACGCAGCAACGCGCGUGAAGGAUGACCGCCUCCGGAUGUAAACCCCUGUUGAAUGGAAAAAAAGGUAGCAAUAUUUGAUGGUACCAUCGAGUAAGCACCGGCUAACUACGUGCAGCAGCGCGGUAAUACGUAGGGUGCAAGCGUUGUUCGGAAUCACUGGGCGUAAAGAGAGCGUAGGCGGGAUCGUAAGUUAGGAGUUUAAUCCACGGGCUCAACCUGUGGUCGGCUUUUAAUACUGCGGUUCUUGAGUAUGGGAGAGGGCGAUGGAAUUCCAGGUGUAGCGGUGGAAUGCGUAGAUAUCUGGAAGAACACCAGUAGCGAAGGCGGUCGCCUGGCCCAAUACUGACGCUGAGGCUCGAAAGCUAGGGGAGCAAACAGGAUUAGAUACCCUGGUAGUCCUAGCCGUAAACGAUGAACACUAGUUGCUGGAGGAGUCAAUCUUUUCGGUGACGAAGCUAACGCAUUAAGUGUUCCGCCUGGGAAGUACGCUCGCAAGAGUGAAACUCAAAGGAAUUGACGGGGGCCCGCACAAGCGGUGGAGCAUGUGCUUUAAUUCGAUGCAACGCGAAGAACCUUACCUAGGCUUGACAUGGGGGUGAAAUUCUGUAGAAAUAUGGAGCCUUCCGCAAGGAACACCCUACACAGGUGCUGCAUGGUGUCGUCAGCUCGUGUCGUGAGAUGUUAGGUUAAGUCCUGCAACGAGCGCAACCUCGUCUUAGUGCUAACAGGUUACGCUGAGAACUCUAAAGAGACUGCCUGGAUUAACAGAGGAAGUGGGGAUGACGUCAAUCUCAUGCCAUACGCCUAAGCUAGAAACGUGCUACAAUGCCUGAUACAACGAGAGCCAAGCCAGUGAUGACAAGCUAAUCUCUUAAAACCAGUCUCAGUUCGGAUUGAAGUCUGCAAUUCGACUUCAUGAAGCUGGAAUCGCUAGUAAUCGCGGAUCAGCAUGCCGCGGUGAAUACGUUCCCGGGCCUUGUACACACCGCCCGUCAAGCCAUGAAAGAUGGCAGUACCCGAAGUCGCUUCUCUAACCGCAAGGAAGAGUGCGCCGAAGGUAAGGCUGUUGAUUGGGGCUAAGUCGUAACAAGGUAACC
RNAcentral lists this ribosomal RNA (1385 nucleotides) under uncultured microorganism. RNAcentral's name for it is "16S ribosomal RNA". It matches the Rfam family "Bacterial small subunit ribosomal RNA". The record is from RNAcentral.